RNAcentral lists this unclassified non-coding RNA (348 nucleotides) under soil metagenome. RNAcentral describes it as "partial contains 5.8S ribosomal RNA, internal transcribed spacer 2, and large subunit ribosomal RNA". The stretch from base 1 to 120 matches the Rfam family "5.8S ribosomal RNA", at positions 35 to 154 of the family's 154-position model. The record is from RNAcentral.
GAUGAAGAACGCAGCGAAAUGCGAUAAGUAAUGUGAAUUGCAGAAUUCAGUGAAUCAUUGAGUCUUUGAACGCACAUUGCGCCCCCUGGUAUUCCGGGGGGCAUGCCUGUCCGAGCGUCAUUGCUGCCCUCAAGCACGGCUUGUGUGUUGGGCCCCCGUCCCCGGUUUCCCCCGGGGACGGGCCCGAAAGGCAGCGGCGGCACCGCGUCCGGUCCUCGAGCGUAUGGGGCUUUGUCACCCGCUCUGUAGGCCCGGCCGGCGCCAGCCGACACCCAACUUUAUUUCUAAGGUUGACCUCGGAUCAGGUAGGGAUACCCGCUGAACUUAAGCAUAUCAAUAAGCGGAGGA